AAAGACUGACGCUCAUGCACGAAAGCGUGGGGAUCAAACAGGAUUAGAUACCCUGGUAGUCCACGCUGUAAACGAUGAUCACUCGUUGUUAGCGAUAUACUGUUAGCGACUGAGCGAAAGCAUUAAGUGAUCCACCUGGGGAGUACGGCGGCAACGUUGAAACUCAAAGGAAUUGACGGGGGCCCGCACAAGCGGAGGAGCAUGUGGUUUAAUUCGAUGAUACGCGAGGAACCUUACCUGGGCUUAAAUGUAGGACGACGUUUCGUGAAAGCGGAAUUUCCUUCGGGACGUCUUACAAGGUGCUGCAUGGUUGUCGUCAGCUCGUGCCGUGAGGUGUCGGGUUAAGUCCCAUAACGAGCGCAACCCUUAUCAUUAGUUGCCAUCAGGUAAUGCUGGGAACUCUAAUGAAACUGCCUACGCAAGUAGUGAGGAAGGUGGGGAUGACGUCAAAUCAGCACGGCCCUUAUGUCCAGGGCGACACACGUGCUACAAUGGCCAGUACAGAGGGUUGCAAA
RNAcentral lists this ribosomal RNA (515 nucleotides) under uncultured bacterium. RNAcentral describes it as "bacterial SSU rRNA". It matches the Rfam family "Bacterial small subunit ribosomal RNA", at positions 735 to 1253 of the family's 1533-position model. The record is from RNAcentral.